UACGGGGGGGGUAAGCGUUGUUCGGAAUUACUGGGCGUAAAGGGCUCGUAGGCGGCCAACUAAGUCAUACGUGAAAUCCCUCAGCUUAACUGGGGAACUGCGUGUGAUACUGGAUGGCUUGGAUUUGGGAGAGGGAUGCGGAAUUCCAGGUGUAGCGGUGGAAUGCGCAGAUAUCAGGAGGAACACCGGUGGCGAAGGCGGGAUCCUGGGCCAGUACUGACGCUGAGGAGCGAAAGCGUGGGGAGCAAACAGG
Molecule: ribosomal RNA, 253 nt
Filed under: uncultured bacterium
Lineage: Bacteria
Description: partial 16S ribosomal RNA
Rfam family: Bacterial small subunit ribosomal RNA
Source: RNAcentral